Mauremys reevesii (Reeves's turtle) is the source of this 1594-nucleotide long non-coding RNA. RefSeq lists it as uncharacterized. NCBI's taxonomy places the organism in Eukaryota, Metazoa, Chordata, Testudines, Geoemydidae. The record is from RefSeq and is a predicted model, not a curated record. The transcript is spliced from 4 exons.
UACCUAGAGGGAGGCCAGCAAGCAGGGAAGGAUCAUGGCUUCCUCAUCUAGGAUGAUCUGGGGGUCAGGGCAAUCAGUGGCCCUUUACCACUCCCAUAGAGCUGCGCCGGCUCCUGCUCUCCCCAGGGGACAGAGGCUAGAGAAUACCACAUAAGACUUUGGGAACAGCCAGAGCACAGGCUCUGGGGAAAAUAAGAACCGCUCAGGUAGAAAAAAAAUAGUGUGAAAGAAGACACAAAAUGCAUCUAUUCCAGCUGAGCAAAUGUGUUCAGGUGGUUUGCGCUGACCUUUUUGGUCAUACUGGAUACUCUCAACCAAUUAGAGGACCAGAAGAAAUAGCAUGUGACUUCAACCAUUUGCCUCUCACCAUUAUUGUUAGUUGUUUGCAUUACAGCAUCACCUAGAGGUCCCAACCAAGAUCUGUGAUAAGUAUCUUAUGUACAUAGGAGACAGUUCUAAAUAAAUGAGAGAGAAAAAGAGGGGAAAGUUAGAAAGGAAGGAUUAUUACAGAUAGGGAUUUAAUAUCUUUUUCUUCUGUGUUUAUACAGCACCUAGCACAAAAGCGACCUGGUCCAUGAUGUGGGCUCCCAAGCAGUACUGCAAUACAAAUAAGGCACAAAGGUCUGUAGCAGAACUGGGAACUGAGGCUUUCCCAAGCCCUACUCUAGUGCCUUCCGCUCCAACCAUCUAACCAAUCUCAGUUUAAAAUUCAAAAGACACAGAGAAAAGCCUUUGCAGCAUGUCCAUGGACAUCCAGAUAGAGCUAAAUGCUUGAUGAACUUCAAUACCAAUUUCACUGAUGUGACAAGAUCAUACAAUGUACUGUGUGCAAAACCCUGCAAAAUUGGAGCAGAUACACACUACUAUAAUGAAGUUACUUGGUCAUCAAACAUAAAGAAUAUGUUGCAAAGAAUCCUGUGGCACCUUAUAGACUAACAGAAGUUUUGCAGCAUGAGCUUUCGUGGGUGAAUACCCACUUCUUCGGAUGCAAGCAGAGAAUAUGUUGUCUUUUUCUGAGGCUUCAAAGCGCUUUUUAAUAAAAAAUGUACAAAGCAGAGUAAAACAGCAGUUAAUACCUUCAUUACUAUCUGUCAAAAAAUGACAGUCAUAUAAGAAAGUGAAAGAGCCCAAGUGAAUGAGUGGACAGCUUAUGCAAAUUACUUUUACAGUGAUUUCCAAACAGGUGAGAAUGGAGUAGUGGGUGCUGCUGGAGGGCAAUGUCCUGAAGUGGACACCGCCGACCGGGGAGCAAGGCGGUUCCCAAAUGAGCAGAGCAGACAAUGGAUGAGACACCAUGUGCAGAGGAUGCUCCACAGCUGACAAGAGCUAAUUCCCAGAGCAACCAGCAGGAGGCGCCAGCGGUGUCAAUCUCCGCUGGACAGACUGUCACUCAGGCUUGGGUUGUCCUGCUGUCUGCUCUCUCCAGAGAGCACCCUUCAUCCUGAUAAAUGGUCUAUUAGCAGAGCCACAUGACUGAGAGAGACAUGCUCCUGAAGCUAAAUAGAUUACAGGCCUGUUCGCUCCAAACUGUCUCAAUAGAAGGUAAUAAGCAUGAUCAUUAAAGUGGGCUUUAGAACUAGAGGAGGCUUUUUCC